AACCCACAAAACCGCACUUUAAAUACGAUCAGUCCACGAUCAGGACCUCCUCACCACACCAUCAUAUCUAAUCUAAUCCCUCUCUCUCUGAUCUAGCCGGAUAUUUCUCUUUUUUUCUUUUGUAUUUUGCAGCUUCUCUCCCUGCUCUCUCUUUUUUUCCCUUUUCUUUCUUUUUUUUUUUUUUCCUGAAUCUGGUUCGCUCAGAUCGCUCGCCGACGGCACUGUUGGAUUUUAUCAUUGACGAGUCAGGGACACCCGUCACGUGUCACCGACACAUGUACCGCUUUGCAUGGAGGAUAGACUCUACCGUGUUUCUCUCGUCGGAGAAAGAGAGAACGGAGAAGAAGAGAGGGUUUCUCUUUUCUUUUUCGGUUUUUCUCUUUUUUUCGCUCAUUUUCUCUUCAUUUUUCCCUUGUUCUUUGCAUUUGGGUUGGUGGGUUUCGCUUUUCUGGGGUGUUUGACCCCUACAAAUUCGUCAAGUUUUCGAUUUUUUUGGCUAAGGCAAAAGAGCGGUACUGGAUCUUGAUACGGUAACUUUCCUAAAAUGGUGGGUUUACAGUGUCCUUGGAUCUGAAUAGAUGGUUUGGUACUUCCUCAUUUCAUGUCUGUUUCCUUUUUUGGCAAGGCAGCGUUUUUCUGUCUUCUUUUUUUCUUCCGAUCGGAAUUUGUCAUGGUCAGGGACAGAAAUUGACAGAAGAGAGUGAGCACACAGAGGGGAUUGUAUAUAUGCUUAUACCUUUGCUUUUGCGUGCUCACUUCUCUUCUUGUCAGCUUCCAUCCCCGAAAAUUUGGCACUCCCUCCCGCCCUUCCUCCCUCCCUCCCUCCCUCCCUCUCUCUCUCUCUCUCCCCUCUCCCUCUCUCUCGGAUUUUUUUCCUUCUUGAAUUUUCGGUUUUCUGUUGCUUCAAGUUAUGUUUGGAAUAGUAAUUGUUAUACACACAUUCAGCAACUAGCAGCAGCAGCUUACUUCCCAAGAGAGAGAGAGAGAGAGAGAGCGUGACUUUUUACGACGACUGCAAGAAGGUAAGCCUGAUAAAUGUGCGGAGUUAGCGGCAAACUUUGCUUGCUAUCUCACGCUCUCUCUAGCUUUGCUUAGCCUUUUAGUAUGGUCCUCACUAAAAACCUGUCUCUUCUUCUCUUCUCAAGUUCUCUUUUUGCAAUUUAUGCGCAUGCGAUCUUGUGUUGCAAAAACGGUUCUGAUUGGAGCUUGUUUCACCUGGAUCUGACCAGAUUUGUCUGUAUGCGUUUGCUUCUGCUUGUCAAGGUUAUGGUUAUAUUUUAUGGGACGAUCUUUGGUUCUGAUUAAUCUUGUUAUGUUAGGGUUGCCUGCUCUACUUUUAUAUGGACGAUCUUCCUCUUAUUGUGCUCUUGUGACCCAUAAGAAAAAAGACAAAAGAAAGAACGUUGGGAGAUCUUCUAGUAUGAUGAUGCUGAGAGUGUAUUGCUACUGUGUUUAUCUUCUCCUUCAAGUUGCUUACAGAUAGUUGCAGUUGAUGAUCAUGGAGGUUAAAGCUUCUUAGUUCCUCUGGCAAUUCCUCGAACUACUCUAAACACUCUUGAAUUGCCAAGUAUGCUUUCGAUAAUGAACAGUCAUGAAGCCAAUGGUUUGAAGUGAGAGUUCCUGGGAAGUGGAUGACAAGUUUCAGAUGGAUCGUACCCAAUUGAUUUCUCUAAGUUGGUUAUCUUCUUUUCCAGCAAUAGAUCAGUCAAUUGCUGUCUGGGAGAUAGAUCCUUAUAUUUUUUCUCCUACCAUGCGGUUUCCUAGUACUCCUUCGAGUUCUUUUCGGACGGCUUGAGGAUGGAUUGCGGUCUUUUGUUUGGCUAUCUCGCUGGGUUGGUCGCUCAUCGUCUCUGACGGAGGUGCUUGACUUGGCGGUCUUCUUUUCCUUCUUUCCUACCUUGUUGUUCGUUGGUUUAAUUGAGUUUUGGAGUCUUUUUGACCCUGCGUGGUCUUCUCCUUAGCCUGUUGUUUAGGCUUCUCCUUGCUUUAGCUUGCUCCUGCGGUUCCUUUUCAUCCAGCACCCUUUCACUCGCCUUGACUUGUUGUCAACGACUUGUUGUCGUGUUGAGUGCAAGUUUUGUGGUGCCGGAUCUUGUGUAAAUGUUGGCUCAAAGCUCUAUAGAUUAUUAUUUCUGA
Eucalyptus grandis is the source of this 2136-nucleotide long non-coding RNA. RefSeq lists it as uncharacterized. NCBI's taxonomy places the organism in Eukaryota, Viridiplantae, Streptophyta, Magnoliopsida, Myrtales, Myrtaceae. The transcript is spliced from 2 exons. The record is from RefSeq and is a predicted model, not a curated record.